RNAcentral lists this ribosomal RNA (255 nucleotides) under uncultured bacterium. Its description in RNAcentral is "partial 16S ribosomal RNA". It matches the Rfam family "Bacterial small subunit ribosomal RNA", at positions 524 to 778 of the family's 1533-position model. The record is from RNAcentral.
UACGUAGGGACCAAGCGUUGUUCGGAUUUACUGGGCGUAAAGGGCGCGUAGGCGGCGUGACAAGUCACUUGUGAAAUCUCCGGGCUUAACUCGGAACGGUCAAGUGAUACUGUCGUGCUAGAGUACAGAAGGGGCAACUGGAAUUCUCGGUGUAGCGGUGAAAUGCGUAGAUAUUGGGAGGAACACCAGUGGCGAAGGCGGCUACCUGGACCGGUUCUGACGCUGAUGCGCGAAAGCGUGGGGAGCAAACAGGGA